UACGAGGGGUGCAAGCGUUGCUCGGAAUUAUUGGGCGUAAAGGGUAGGUAGGUGGUCUCGUUUGUCUGGGGUGAAAGCCUUGAGCUUAACUCAAGAAGUGCCCUAGAAACGGCGAGACUAGAGUCUUGGAGAGGGUCGUGGAAUUCCCGGUGUAGCGGUGAAAUGCGUAGAUAUCGUAAGGAAGACCAGUGGCGAAGGCGGAUCUCUGGACAGUUACUGACACUGAGGCACGAAGGCCAGGGGAGCAAACGGG
This 253-nucleotide ribosomal RNA is filed under the name uncultured bacterium. RNAcentral describes it as "partial 16S ribosomal RNA". It matches the Rfam family "Bacterial small subunit ribosomal RNA", at positions 524 to 776 of the family's 1533-position model. The record is from RNAcentral.